UUAUGGCUCAGGAUGAACGCUAGCGGCAGGCUUAACACAUGCAAGGUCGAGGGGCAUCGGGAGUAGCAAUACUGCCGGCGACCGGCGCAAGGGUGCGUAACGCGUGAGCAACAUGCCCGUAUCAGGGGGAUAAUCCAUGGAAACGUGGUCUAAUACCCCAUAGUAAUUAUGUAAGGCAUCUUAUAUAAUUUAAAGCUUUGGUGGAUACGGAUUGGCUCGCGUGACAUUAGCUGGAUGGUAAGGUAACGGCUUACCAUGGCUACGAUGUCUAGGGGUUCUGAGAGGAAGGUCCCCCCACACUGGAACUGAGACACGGUCCAGACUCCUACGGGAGGCAGCAGUGAGGAAUAUUGGACAAUGGAUGGAAAUCUGAUCCAGCCAUGCCGCGUGCAAGGAAGACGGCCCUAUGGGUUGUAAACUGCUUUUGUAUGGGAGCAAUAAGGGCUACGUGUAGUCCGAUGAGAGUACCAUACGAAUAAGCACCGGCUAACUCCGUGCCAGCAGCUGC
RNAcentral lists this ribosomal RNA (508 nucleotides) under uncultured bacterium. RNAcentral describes it as "bacterial SSU rRNA". It matches the Rfam family "Bacterial small subunit ribosomal RNA", at positions 17 to 518 of the family's 1533-position model. The record is from RNAcentral.